Molecule: long non-coding RNA, 5649 nt
Organism: Dendrobium catenatum
Lineage: Eukaryota; Viridiplantae; Streptophyta; Magnoliopsida; Asparagales; Orchidaceae
Exons: 3
Source: RefSeq, a predicted model, not a curated record
GGGAGGUCUGGUUGUUUUUGGAGCGGAAUACUUAUUAAGAACUUGAUGGAAGUGAAGGAUUAAGAAUAUGGAAGGCACUGCAAUGAUUUGACUUCUUCAUGGUUUAAUUUGCUAGUUGUAUGUAGGGUAUGCAAAUUCUACUUAUACACACCCUGUGUACAAGUUGUAUGCAGGGUGUCUACAAAUCAUGUGGCUUCAUUUUAUUGGAGCCCAAAUGUGAGCUAUGUCUGGAUUCUGCACCUGAUAAUUUCUCCACAAAAAGAUGGAUUAACUUGCAGAAACCACUGCUCUUUCUCAUUUGAAAAUGAAAGUAACAUUAAUUUGCAGUGUUUGGAUUUGGGAAGAUUUGAAGCAAAUUGUAGAUCUCGAGUUUUGGAGGUGCUUGAGAAUUUUAAACCACAAAACAUUCUGAAGAAACUUUGGAUAUAUGUUUACAUGGGUGCCAGGUCUUCAAUAUGUGCCUUCGUAUAGCACUUAUUGAGAAUCUGUACUAUAUCUAGCAUUUCUUGAGAACAUGGAUUAUCUGCGUUCUUACCUUUUUAGCCUUUCUUUUUUCUUACAAAUUUCACGUUCAUAUUGGUCUCAUUUACUCAAGUUUUGGAUUGAGGUGACUAGAUUUUUUUCUUCCUAUGAGAUUCAUUAUUACUCAAAUGUUGGAUCAAAUAGAGGCCUGAGCGCUGCAUCGUUGAACAAUAGAUCUAAGAUAUCUAAAAUGUGUACUCUUAUUAAUGUCUUAAUCACCCAAAGUUACAAUCCCCUCACUAGGCUUAUUGCUACUAAAAUUACACUCCAUAUAUUCAAUUUUAGAUCUACUCGAGCGAAAACCUUUUAGACUCUGAGGUUGACCUCCAUAAUUCAAGUUUACCUUCAACUUCCUCCUCUAGUUUUAUCAACAAAAAUAAUAUUAUCAGCAAAAAAACAUACACCAAGGUACAUCCUCUUGCAAAUGUCUAGUGAGAACAUCCAUGGCUAAAGCAAAAAGAUAUGGGCUUAAGGUUGAUCCUUGAUUUUAUCCAACCUAAAUAGGAAAAUCCUUGGUCAACCACCUUGUGUUUGAACACAAUACAUAUCUUUAAUGAUUUGAAUAUAAGCUUUAUCAAUUAAGAACUUGAAACAUCUGAUAAGAGGAACUUUAUGAAUUUGUCCUAAGAAUGGGGUAACAUUGGUGUAUAAGAUGGAGGACCCUAAAAUCCCAUGUUUUUUUUAAAUAUUUUCAGGAAAAGAAAGUAGAAGGGAGGUUUUUUGGAGUGAAAUAUUUUUUAUGAAGGACAGAAUAUGGAAGGCACUGCAAUGAUUUGACUUCUUCAAAGUCUAAUUUGCUAGUUGAGUUGAGGGUGUGUAAAUUCUACUUAUACACCCUGUGUACAAGUUGUAUGUAGGGUGUGUGCAAAUCAUGUGGCUUCAUCUUAGUGGAGCCCAAAUGCGAGCUAUGUCCGGAUUCCGCACCUAAUAAUUUCCACAAAAAGAUCGGUUAACUUGCAGAAAUCACUACUCUAACUCAUUCAAAAAUGAAACUACCAUUAAUUUGCAGCGUUUUGAUUUGGGAAGAUUUCAAGCACAUUGUAGACCUCAACUUUUGGAUGAGAAGGUGCUUUAGAAUUUCAAACCACAUAACCAUCUAAAGAAACUGAGGAUAAAUGUUUACAUGGGUGCCAGGUCUUCAAUAUUUGCCUUGUUGUAGCACUUUUUGAGAACCUGUACUAUAUCUAGCAUUUCUUGAAAACAUGGAUUGUCUGCGUUGUUACCUUCGUAGCCUUUCUUCUUUCUAACAAUUUUUGGAUCAUAUGGGUUACAUUUAUUCAGGUUUUGGAUCAAAUAAGUCGAGCCUUUGGGAAAGAAUGAAAGGAAAAUUUUCUCAUCCCUUGACGCUAUAUGUAUAUUAUUUAUGGAAGGAACGGAAUGGCAGGAAAUAUGGCAAUCACAUCUCUCCUACUUCGUCUAUUUUAAGCUUUAAGCAGGAAGCGUUCUCAUAUGGAUGAAAAAAAAUCGAGGGAUGACUCGGAUUGUGACUUUGCUUCGCUAGAGGUGUUACACAUUGAGAGAUUAGAAGCAUUGGAGGAUUGGUUUGACUCAACAUUAGCAGCAGCAGAUUGUCGUUUUUCCUUGCUUAAUUGAACUAUACCUGAAGGACUGCCCAAAAUUGCAAGAGUUUCCCUCUUUGCCUGCUAAGCUCAGGAAAUUAUAGAUAGAUAAUUUCGGUUGGAAAACUUUGAACUUGUUACGAGGCACUAGCAAUUGUUACAUCAUUUCUAGUCUUGCAGCAAUAAGAAACUUGACAAUUCGAAAUAGUGGUGAUCUCAUCUAUCUCAAAGGACUGAAAGAUUUGGGGACUACAGAGAAUUCCCAGCUCUUACUCAACGAACUCUUUAUUAAGCAUCCAUCGGUGUUGCUAAUGGAGCUAUUAAGCAGUAUCACCUCCAUUCAAAGGGUAAUGAUCGGUUGUUUUCUUUUUCAGUUGCGACAGAGCAGUGGUUUCUGCAAGUUAGCUCAUACCGUGUUUUUGGGGAGCUGUUCUUUAUGCUUAAUGUACAACUCAUCGAGCACAUCAUCUACCUCAUCAAUAGCAUCUCGCAGCUGUCAUAUCCAUUUGUUGAGAGCCGUGUUAUUAUGGCCUCCAAUUUUUGCUUGGCUGGAAGCAAAGUCGAGGACAGCUUGGAUCGUGAGGUGGUUCUCUCGCAGCCUUGCCCGUCUGUCAUCUGACUUGCUCUUCUAGGUAAUCAGAGUAAGCGUUCAUGAUCUUCUCCAUGAUUGGACCAACAAACCAUUCUUCCAUGGCACCGAUGAUCGUGGUAGAGAGAGCAGAACAACCGAACAAUGGGUUUCAUCUGGUGUCAUUCAGUUGCCCUGGAAUGGAGACGAGAAUACUAAGGUGGAUGAGUGGCUUUACUCUUAGAUCCUAAACUCUAAAUCCUAAACGGGCAUGUACGGGAAAGGUUGGAGUAGCUCCAAUGACAGAUAAGAGUAGAGAGAUUUGCUUUAGAUGUUUUUAUGAAAUAAAAUGGUGGCCUUCCGAUAACUUGGUUAGGAAAUUAGAUGUAUUAGAUUUGACUUAUAUUAAGAAAGGUAGAGGUAUACCUAAAAAUUUUUUGUUAGAAAAUAUUAGAAAUGAUAUGUUUUCAUUUGAUUUAAAUGAGAAUUUGAUUCUUAAUAUGACAAUGGAGAAACAAGGAUUUCUGUAGCCGACACUUAGUGGGAUAAAGGCUUGAUGUUGUUGUUGGAAAUGAUCUUAUCCCCUGUUCUUCUUUGCUGGUAUAUGGGCAAUAAUGUUAUUUUGGAAGCCGUUCUGCUCUCCCUUUGGAUGGCACACUCUUGGUAUCCUUAUUCUGCUUCUCCCUUACCCUUUCAAGCAGUGUGCAACCGGGUAGAGCGCCUCCACUUCAUUUGGCUGGCAUCAGCUCUUGCCACAUUCCUCAUAGUCAUUGCAACAACCUAAUCAUUUAUGAGCCCAUUUUGCCUUUAUAUUUUGCCACCCUCUGCUUUUUUCAAAUUGAUCCCAACUUGAAGAGAUUGUGAAGAAACUUUGAUAAAGUUUCAGCUGAUAUUAUUAAUAUUCUUCAUCUUUUAGAGAUCACAACGUGAGUUGCGCAAAAGAUGUGAAACAAGAUCAUUGCCUAAAAAUGAACAGAUUGAUUAAGGCAAGGAGUUUGUUAUGAUGUGGAUGAUGAAGCCAUCAAAUGAACGUCAUACUCAUUUUAUCGGCACUAAUAUGUACAGCAACAUUUCUCUUCUAUCAAUGGUCGGUUUUGGUGGUAUGCCUAAGACAACUCUCUUGUAAAAUGUUUAUUAAGAGGAAUUUGAUCUUAAAAUGUAGAUACGUGUUUCCAACAACUUGAUGUGAAAAGAGUCAUUGUAGUCAUAUUGCAAUCUUUAUACAAUUUAAAGACUCAUAACUAAUUAUUUAAUUUCUAGUUUUACUAUUAAUUAUUUAAGUAUUUUUUAAUAAAUUUUUAAUUUAAUUAUAUCAUUAUUUAUCUAAUUAGUUAUUUAAAUAUUUUAUUACUAAUUAUUAAUAUUUUAUAUUAUAUUACUUAAGCUAAAUUAGAUGAAUUUUUAAUUUAGAUGGUAGGCUUGCUUUUCAUCUUCUCCAUUUGUUUGUUGCUGUUGCUUUUCCUCCUGAAUUGAAGGUCAAGAUGGGAGCUCGCUCGCUAUGAAGGUAACCAUCUUUUUCCCUUUUUUGCUUGCUUCUACCAAAUCCUGGAAAUUUGCUUAUUGGUCGGAUUUAAUAAAUACGGGAUUUAGGACAAAAGGAGGAAAAUUAAGUAUUUAUUUCUUCCGGAUUUGACAUGUCCUUAAAUUACGUUUGGCAGGAUUUAGCAAUAAUCCCUGCAUAAAUCCUAUUUUCAAUGCACCUAAGUUAUUGAGAUGGAGGAAAUGUUGAGAUUAGAGGGCUUGGAGGAGGUUGCAUACUUACAAAUCCCCUAAGUGAUAGAAAAGUGAAAGAAGCUCACCGUUUUUCAUCUACUAGAUUUUGCUACAUCUUUUUUAUAUUUUUUUUUAUAGAUUGGUAUGAGAUGCUUACGGUCAUGCUAUUGAUUGGACUGCAAUAUCUAUAGGUAGGCUUCAACAUAGCGUGCUUUAUUCACCGGUGGUUAUAACGGUACAAUAGUUUUCAUGCAAGCCAUGAAGUCCCUACGAUUGCCUACCGCAUAUGUCCAGCCUAAAUGAUAACUUUGUUUUUAUGUUUGCGACAAAUUAAGAUCCAUUGGUAAGAAAGGUCAUGGAUGGUGUUCUAGAUUCUAGCUUUAGAUGAAAUGCAUUGGAUAAACGUUUUAAAAGAGUUUUUUUCCCAAUUGGAAAUAUUUGUCUACUCAGCACAUAGCUCCCUCAGCUUGUUGAAUAUAUUGCUUAUAAUUUCAGUGGUGGAAAUGCUCCAAAUUUAUACUUCUAAUUUUGAUUGUUAUGGUUGUUAUUGUGGGUUCAUUUGAUUUUUUUUAUUCUCUAUGGGAAUGAUCUUCUCCCCUGUUCUUCUUUGCCGGUAUCUGGGAAAUGAUGAUAUUUUGAAAGCCUUUUGCUCUCCCUUUGGAUGGCACACUUGGUGUCCCUAUUUUAUGGGGCCCUUAACAUCAGCGUGCAAGCGGGUAGAGCGCCUGCGCUUCAUUUUGCUGGCAUCGGCUCUUGCCAGAUUCCUGAUAAUCUCUGAUAGAACCUGAUCAUUUCUGAGCCCAUUUUACCUUGUCUUAUACUCUCGAUAUUUUUUUUGAGUUGAUCCCAACUUGAAUAGACAGGAGGGGUUUUUGAAGAAACUUGACAAAGUGUCAGCUGAUGUUGUUAGGUUCCUUCAUCUUUUAGAAAGCACAUACCAGGAGCGACAAUGUAAGUUGUGCAAAAGAUGUGAAACAAGUUCUUUGCCUAAAAAUGAUCAGAUUGGUUGAGGCAAGCAGGUGUUUGCUAUUAUUAUGUGGUUGGGGCUAUUAUAUGUAAUAUCUGAUUGUGUUGAUAAAUCGGGUUAUUUUGUUGCCUCGAAUUGUUCUGUUUACUCAUCCCCAAUAGAGACAGACGUCAAAUGAACAUCAUACUUGUUGCAUCCUUGAGUAUUUGCGGCGGUAGAGAAAUAUAACAUUUAACGUCUUAACUUUGUACGAAGAUCCUGCACACAAUCAGAUAGGAGAGAGGGUGUAGCAUUUAUGAGACAUCAAUAUUUUUACGUGG